UCGAGUAUGGUGUAACGGCUAACAUUACCGCCUUUCCACGCGGUAGCUCGGGGUUCGAUUCCCCCGUACUCGAA
Non-coding RNA from Gymnopilus junonius, 74 nucleotides. Lineage: Eukaryota; Fungi; Basidiomycota; Agaricomycetes; Agaricales; Galerinaceae. The record is from the annotation of a GenBank genome assembly.